This 331-nucleotide ribosomal RNA is filed under the name uncultured bacterium. Its description in RNAcentral is "bacterial SSU rRNA". It matches the Rfam family "Bacterial small subunit ribosomal RNA", at positions 37 to 334 of the family's 1533-position model. The record is from RNAcentral.
GAUUGAACCGCCGUGGCGGCGUGCUUAACACAUGCAAGUCGAACGGGAAACAGUUUUAUUGGAAGACGUUCGGCAGAUUUAGUUUGUUUCUAGUGGCGGACGGGUGAGUAACGCGUGGGUAACCUGCCUCACACUGGGGGAUAACAGUCAGAAAUGACUGCUAAUACCGCAUAAGCGCACGGGACCGCAUGGUUUAGUGUGAAAAACUCCGGUGGUGUGAGAUGGACCCGCGUUGGAUUAGCCAGUUGGCAGGGUAACGGCUCACCAAGGCGACGAUCAGUAGCCGACCUGAGAGGGUGACCGGCCACAUUGGGACUGAGACACGGCCCAA